This 274-nucleotide ribosomal RNA is filed under the name uncultured bacterium. RNAcentral describes it as "partial 16S ribosomal RNA". It matches the Rfam family "Bacterial small subunit ribosomal RNA", at positions 523 to 796 of the family's 1533-position model. The record is from RNAcentral.
AUACGGAGGGUCCAAGUGUUAUCCGGAAUCAUUGGGUUUAAAGGGUCCGCAGGCGGUCAAUUAAGUCAGAGGUGAAAGCCCAUCGCUCAACGAUGGAACUGCCUUUGAUACUGGUUGACUUGAGUUAUACGGAAGUAGAUAGAAUAAGUAGUGUAGCGGUGAAAUGCAUAGAUAUUACUUAGAAUACCGAUUGCGAAGGCAGUCUACUACGUAUAUACUGACGCUGAGGGACGAAAGCGUGGGGAGCGAACAGGAUUAGAAACCCCAGUAGUCC